This is a non-coding RNA of Prunus avium (sweet cherry), 330 nucleotides long. The record is from RefSeq and is a predicted model, not a curated record. Lineage: Eukaryota; Viridiplantae; Streptophyta; Magnoliopsida; Rosales; Rosaceae.
CUAUCACUAGUCAACAGUAGUAAGGUCCGACCUAAGAAGACCCAAAGGAUAGAGACCCAACUCGCAGCUCACCUCGCUUCCAUUUUCUGCAUAUCUCCUUGUCUGGAUUUGUGAGAAAGAAAAAGCUAAGAAAACCCAAAGGCAUGCAACUAUGGCCUAUGAAAACAAAUCCAUGUAUCUGGACUCUCCCCAACGAAAAUUGGUUUGGGGAAAGAUCGAGGUCAAGCGGAUCGAAGACACAUCAAACCGUCAAGUCACCUUCUGCAAAAGGAGCAAUGGGUUGCUCAAGAAGGCCCUAUGAACUCUCUCUACUCUGUGAUGCAGAGGUUG